Long non-coding RNA from Carassius auratus (goldfish), 1105 nucleotides. RefSeq lists it as uncharacterized. The transcript has 2 exons. NCBI's taxonomy places the organism in Eukaryota, Metazoa, Chordata, Actinopteri, Cypriniformes, Cyprinidae. The record is from RefSeq and is a predicted model, not a curated record.
UGUAAUUGGACUUUUGAGUUACCUUGUAGUUACUGAGAUGUUUAUCACAUUACAGUUAUUGAGAUGUGUGACAAAUUUCCCAGUCACAGGCUCAUAUGAACAAAAUAUCUUGUCAAGCUGGCAAGAUGGCCGCAGUACCUUGGGGUAAGGACAGACGAGGCAAGAGAAGAGAUGGAAGGAUGAGGAGAGACAGAGAUGAGAGAGGGAAGAGGAAAAGAAAAAAUAAUUCCUGAACACACUGUCACUUGGUCCUCAACCAGCUGAGAGGCUCUUUCUUACGGUGCCAUGCGAUGGUACCGGACAUCUUUGGUGGACAGCAAUGGCUGCUCUUAAUGAGGACAGCCAGCAAUCCCCCAUUCCCUGUUCCUGCCCAAUCAUGGGGGACGGCAGCAGGCUCCGGCUCCGGGACUUGAGACUGGCUGAUGUGCAACAACUCGGACAAACAGAGACAUCUUGGCUGGGUUAAAUGGAUGAAGACCAUGAGUGACAAAGCAACAAAUAACAAAUCUGCUGCCAAGUUAAUAAAAGCUGCCGUCAAGGAUGCAGCCACAGACAAAAUACUCUUCUCUUUCAGCUGAGACCAUUCAGCAUUACCCAGCUCUUUACUGGAGUGAAGGAAAAAGGAAACUUUGGUGACUAUUCCCUCAGCCAUCAGGUGUUGCUUAUUAGUGUGUUUGUGGGCACUUUUUAUGCCAGUUUAGAUUUGCAAGAAUGAUAGUUACAGUUUCAGCAUUAGAAAGGGCAAUAAGGGGAAAUACAAAGAAUCCUGAAAAAGACAGAAAUAAUGCAAGUGUUCACUCAUUCAGCUUUUUGUUCAAUCGCCUUUGCUUUGUUUUAAACACUUAAACUCCACUCAUAGGCCUACUGGAAAUGUUCCUCAGGAUUUCUCAGAAAAAAACUGGGGUGAUAACAAACAUGUCUCAUUAUUUCUGAUCAGACUGACAGCAGAGGCUAAAACCGUUUGAAGUCGCUGGUGCCCCUGCUGUUAUCUAAAACUAGCCGCAUGCAGACCUCUCACUAUGGGGCAUCUGGACUGGCGGCACUCAGCCCCUCUCAGCUCACCGGUCUGUGCUAGGCCACUUAGACAGAUUAAUACUUAGCUAAG